This 319-nucleotide ribosomal RNA is filed under the name uncultured Actinomycetes bacterium. RNAcentral's name for it is "bacterial SSU rRNA". It matches the Rfam family "Bacterial small subunit ribosomal RNA", at positions 28 to 351 of the family's 1533-position model. Lineage: Bacteria; Bacillati; Actinomycetota; Actinomycetes. The record is from RNAcentral.
GACGAACGCUGGCGGCGUGCUUAACACAUGCAAGUCGAGCGGAAAGGCCCUUCGGGGUACUCGAGCGGCGAACGGGUGAGUAACACGUGAGUAAUCUGCCCCUAGCUCUGGGAUAGCUCCGGGAAACCGGGAUUAAUACCAGAUACGACUCCUUCGGACAUCUGAAGGAGUGGAAAGAUUUAUCGGCUAGGGAUGAGCUCGCGGCCUAUCAGCUUGUUGGUGGGGUAACGGCCUACCAAGGCGACGACGGGUAGCCGGCCUGAGAGGGCGACCGGCCACACUGGGACUGAGACACGGCCCAGACUCCUACGGGUGGCUG